RNAcentral lists this small RNA (125 nucleotides) under Marmota monax (woodchuck). Lineage: Eukaryota; Metazoa; Chordata; Mammalia; Rodentia; Sciuridae. The record is from RNAcentral.
GCCAGGUUCAGUGACAUGCGCCUGUAAUCCCAGCAGUUUGGGAGGCUGAGACAGGAGGAUCACAAGUUCAAAGCCAGUCUCAGCAAUGGCGAGGUGCUAAGCAACUCAGUGAGACCCUGUCUCAA